UUGUGAGGUUAAGCGACUAAGCGUACACGGUGGAUGCCCUGGCAGUCAGAGGCGAUGAAGGACGUGCUAAUCUGCGAUAAGCGUCGGUGAGGUGAUAUGAACCGUUAUAACCGGCGAUUUCCGAAUGGGGAAACCCAGUGUGUUUCGACACACUAUCAUUAACUGAAUCCAUAGGUUAAUGAGGCGAACCGGGGGAACUGAAACAUCUAAGUACCCCGAGGAAAAGAAAUCAACCGAGAUUCCCCCAGUAGCGGCGAGCGAACGGGGAGGAGCCCAGAGCC
Molecule: ribosomal RNA, 281 nt
Filed under: Escherichia coli
Lineage: Bacteria; Pseudomonadati; Pseudomonadota; Gammaproteobacteria; Enterobacterales; Enterobacteriaceae
Description: partial 23S ribosomal RNA
Rfam family: Bacterial large subunit ribosomal RNA
Source: RNAcentral